CCCGCCACUGCAGCAGUUUUAUUUCCUAACUGCCUACAGUCCAGUGGUGCGCUAAGAACACUCUCCAUCUUAGGAAACAGGUGCAUUCUGGGUGUGAGUGAACCUGUGCCGAAAGACUGGAAACAAGA
This 128-nucleotide small nucleolar RNA is filed under the name Xenopus laevis (African clawed frog). Its description in RNAcentral is "Small nucleolar RNA SNORA65". It matches the Rfam family "Small nucleolar RNA SNORA65". From Rfam's summary of the family: U65 belongs to the H/ACA class of snoRNAs which are thought to guide the sites of modification of uridines to pseudouridines. The record is from Rfam by way of RNAcentral. Lineage: Eukaryota; Metazoa; Chordata; Amphibia; Anura; Pipidae.